AUUGAACGCUGGCGGCAUGCCUUACACAUGCAAGUCGAACGGUAACAGGUCUUCGGAUGCUGACGAGUGGCGAACGGGUGAGUAAUACAUCGGAACGUGCCCGAUCGUGGGGGAUAACGAAGCGAAAGCUUUGCUAAUACCGCAUAAGAUCUACGGAUGAAAGCAGGGGACCGCAGGGCCUUGCGCGAACGGAGCGGCCGAUGGCAGAUUAGGUAGUUGGUGGGAUAAAAGCUUACCAAGCCGACGAUCUGUAGCUGGUCUGAGAGGACGACCAGCCACACUGGGACUGAGACACGGCCCAGACUCCUACGGGAGGCAGCAGUGGGGAAUUUUGGACAAUGGGCGAAAGCCUGAUCCAGCCAUGCCGCGUGCAGGAUGAAGGCCUUCGGGUUGUAAACUGCUUUUGUACGGAACGAAAAGACUCUGGUUAAUACCUGGGGUCCAUGACGGUACCGUAAGAAUAAGCACCGGCUAACUACGUG
This 482-nucleotide ribosomal RNA is filed under the name uncultured bacterium. Its description in RNAcentral is "partial 16S ribosomal RNA". It matches the Rfam family "Bacterial small subunit ribosomal RNA", at positions 30 to 507 of the family's 1533-position model. The record is from RNAcentral.